Molecule: ribosomal RNA, 387 nt
Filed under: uncultured bacterium
Lineage: Bacteria
Description: bacterial SSU rRNA
Rfam family: Bacterial small subunit ribosomal RNA
Source: RNAcentral
AGCAGCCGCGGUAAUACGAAGGUCCCGAGCGUUGUUCGGAAUCACUGGGCGUAAAGGGAGCGUAGGCGGCGUGGUAAGUCAGAUGUGAAAUCCCGGGGCUCAACCCCGGAACUGCAUCCGAUACUGCCGUGCUAGAGGAUUGGAGAGGUAGCUGGAAUUCUUGGUGUAGCAGUGAAAUGCGUGGAUAUCAAGAGGAACACUCGUGGCGAAAGCGAGCUACUGGACAACUCCUGACGCUGAGGCUCGAAGGCCAGGGUAGCGAAAGGGAUUAGAUACCCCUGUAGUCCUGGCAGUAAACGGUGCACGCUUGGUGUGAGGGGAAUCGACCCCCCUUGUGCCGGAGCAAACGCGUUAAGCGUGCCGCCUGGGAAGUACGGUCGCAAGACU